RNAcentral lists this unclassified non-coding RNA (1995 nucleotides) under Hevea brasiliensis (rubber tree). Lineage: Eukaryota; Viridiplantae; Streptophyta; Magnoliopsida; Malpighiales; Euphorbiaceae. The record is from RNAcentral.
UCAUUCACAUAGAUAAAUCACUUUGCUACAUAGAUAAAUCAUUUGCUAAUCAUUCACAUUUCAAUAUACAUCUUAAAUUUACAUGUUUGUACAAUACCUCAAAUCUAUCAGAGAAUACUCUCUUCACUUCCACCAAAAAAAAAAAAAGUAUCUUCUCUUAGAAAUACAUUGUUCUCACAAAAAAAAAUGGCAGCCAGCAUAAUAAUUUACUGGUGAUCUGAAAACAAGGGAACAUGUAUAACAAAAUCUAAAGUUAAAUUAAUGAUUUUAUUCAGAUAUCAGAACUAUCAGUGUUGCUAUCACUAUAACACUGUGGAUCCCAAAACUUUGAACUAUGCUCAUCUUCAUGUUUCAAAACAGGACAAGAAGCAUUGAAGAAGUCCCUAAAGCGUACAAUUCCACUUUCUUCACCAUAGGUAGUAGUUACGAUUUGAGUUCCUUUCACUGCCAUGGCUGUACAUCUAGAGCUAUGACCUACAUCCUCGGAUUGGCAGCAAAUGAAGGAAUUUGUUUGCAUACCAGUUUCAGCCUCCCAAACAUUUAUGUAUAAAUCCUCUGGUCCUCCUGUGACUAUUUUAUAUGGAUCCAUGUGCAACUGUGUGACUGGACCUGUAUGUCCAUCCAACUCAGCUAAUGGUUCUGGUUUCAGUGUCUCCUGGUUUCUCCUUAUGUCCCAAAGCAGUGCUUUGCCAUUUCCACCAGUGCAGACCAAGGAUUUUGAAGGGGCAAUUGCAAAUGAAUAUAAUUUAGGUUGAUAAAUAGCUGCAGUGAUGACUUUCUGCAUUGUUCUCAAAUCCACAGCCCCAACAGAGGAACCAGCAGCAAAAUAAAGCAAAGAUUCAUGGCAUUUCAUAUCCACAGGUGUGCCAGGCAGAGUAGUCAUUCCCACACAGCAUGAAGAACGAAUAGCAGAAGAUGUAGUUGUAUCCCAAACCCUAACCUUGGAAUCUUUUGAGAUGGUUACCAAAAGUGAAGCUCUGUGCUCUGCAACCGACAUCAAUUUUAUAGGUUUCUCAUGCCCAUAAAAUGUAGCCUUUAAACCAUGUUGACCACGCUUUCCACUUGAGCUAAGGGACCAAAGGCGAACAGUACCAUCCUCCCCACCACUUGCCAAUAACUUGGCACUACUGUCACCUAACAACUUAUCUGACAAGGUUGAAACGGGGCCAUUAUGACCUCUAAAACAGCGAUGGCAAGAGCCCUUCCACCACAAACGAAUAGAAUGAUCACAGCUUGAGGUUACCAAAACAUUUUCUUUCCUUUGUGACUCGCUUCGAAAAAGAGAGGUUUCAUAAAUGGGAAAUAAUCUCAUAGAAGUAAUUCUUGCAUUAUGAUCACUUAGUGUAGCCACAGAGUCUUUUCCAUUUAAAAAGCUAUCAAUCUUCACUGUUCGUAUGGAAGAACCCUGUGAAAAGAUAAUAUCAUUCUUGUCCAACAUAAUAUGAUCAAAAGAUUUCGCAUCCGUAUACAAGUCCGCAGACAAAGGAUCAACAAAUUUGAACUGAUGCAACGAGGCAUGCCUCGCCAAAUACGCGUCCCUCGCUCCUGAAGAGCUCUUUGACGAGAUACGAGCUACUUCUUGUGGCCAUCGCUCGCUGAAGCAGCGCUGCCAGAUGGAAUCGGAAUAAGCGACGCGCUUGAGGAACUUGCAGGUCAUGGCCAAGUUGGACAGGUCCUGCAGGCUCAGGUAAGUGGCACAGAAAGACAGCGAGUCCUCGUUCAAGUCUGUAAUCUUCGAUGGUGGUGGUGAGGUCAAAUCCGUGGAUUCCGAGUGUGAUGGCACCGCCAUCUUCUUCAAUUUUUCGUUGAUGUAACCCUAAGUCAAAGGUAAAAGAAAUUGGGAAAUGGAAGAGAAGCCAGAGCUGGCGGUCGCUUUUUAUUCUGGUUCUGGCCGCCGGGUGUGUGGGGGUGGUAGUGGCCGCCGUUAUCGGAUUUUUCAAAGAGGCGGUGGAUAGUAAUGCUGCUGGAGUUCAAGUGGCAUUUUAACAUUUGCUU